This 253-nucleotide ribosomal RNA is filed under the name uncultured bacterium. RNAcentral describes it as "partial 16S ribosomal RNA". It matches the Rfam family "Bacterial small subunit ribosomal RNA", at positions 524 to 776 of the family's 1533-position model. The record is from RNAcentral.
UACGUAGGGUGCAAGCGUUGUCCGGAAUUAUUGGGCGUAAAGAGCUCGUAGGCGGUCUGUCACGUCGGACGUGAAAAUCCAGGGCUCAACCCUGGACCUGCGUUCGAUACGGGCAGACUAGAGUUCGGUAGGGGAGACUGGAAUUCCUGGUGUAGCGGUGAAAUGCGCAGAUAUCUGGAGGAACACCGGUGGCGAAGGCGACAUCCUGGACCGGUAUUGACGCUGAGGCGCGAAAGCCAGGGGAGCAAACGGG